This 240-nucleotide ribosomal RNA is filed under the name uncultured bacterium. RNAcentral's name for it is "partial 16S ribosomal RNA". It matches the Rfam family "Bacterial small subunit ribosomal RNA", at positions 92 to 334 of the family's 1533-position model. The record is from RNAcentral.
CGAGUGGGGGACGGGUGAGUAAUGUCUAGGGAAACUGCCUGGUGGAGGGGGAUAACUACUGGAAACGGUAGCUAAUACCGCAUAACGUCGCAAGACCAAAGAGGGGGACCUUCGGGCCUCUUGCCAUCGGAUGUGCCCAGAUGGGAUUAGCUAGUAGGUGGGGUAACGGCUCACCUAGGCGACGAUCCCUAGCUGGUCUGAGAGGAUGACCAGCCACACUGGAACUGAGACACGGUCCAG